Molecule: ribosomal RNA, 700 nt
Filed under: uncultured bacterium
Lineage: Bacteria
Description: bacterial SSU rRNA
Rfam family: Bacterial small subunit ribosomal RNA
Source: RNAcentral
AGUGGCGAACGGGUGAGUAACACGUUGGUGACCUGCCCCGAAGUGAGGGAUAACACCGCGAAAGUGGUGCUAAUACCCCAUGUGACCCGAGGGAUUAGAUGCCCUUGGUGGAAAGGCGAAAGCCGCUUCGGGAGGGGCCUGCGGCCCAUCAGCUAGUUGGCAGGGUAAUGGCCUACCAAGGCGACGACGGGUAGGGGUCCUGAGAGGGUGGCCCCCCACACUGGCACUGAAACACGGGCCAGACACCUACGGGUGGCAGCAGUAGGGAAUAUUGGACAAUGGGCGAAAGCCUGAUCCAGCAACGCCGCGUGCGCGAUGACGGCCUUCGGGUUGUAAAGCGCUUUUCGGGGGGAUGAGGAAGGACAGUACCCCCGGAAUAAGUCUCGGCUAACUACGUGCCAGCAGCCGCGGUAAAACGUAGGAGGCAAGCGUUAUCCGGAUUUACUGGGCGUAAAGCGCGUGCAGGCGGUCAAGUAAGUCGGACGUGAAAGCUCCCGGCUCAACUGGGAGAGGCCGUUCGAUACUACUCGACUUGAGGGCAGUAGAGGAAGGUGGAAUUCCGGGUGUAGCGGUGAAAUGCGUAGAUAUCCGGAGGAACACCUGUGGCGAAAGCGGCCUUCUGGACUGCUCCUGACGCUCAGACGCGAAAGCUAGGGGAGCGAACGGGAUUAGAAACCCCGGUAGUCCUAGCUGUAAACGA